This 229-nucleotide ribosomal RNA is filed under the name uncultured bacterium. RNAcentral's name for it is "partial 16S ribosomal RNA". It matches the Rfam family "Bacterial small subunit ribosomal RNA", at positions 104 to 334 of the family's 1533-position model. The record is from RNAcentral.
CGGGGUGAGUAAUGCUUGGGAAUCUAGCUUAUGAGGGGGAGUAACUACGGGAAACUGUAGCUAAUACCGCGUAAUAUCGAGAGAUUAAAGUGUGGGACCUUCGGGCCACAUGCCAUAGGAUGAGCCCAAGUGGGAUUAGGUAGUUGGUGAGGUAAAGGCUCACCAAGCCGACGAUCUCUAGCUGGUCUGAGAGGAUGACCAGCCACACUGGGACUGAGACACGGCCCAG